GAUGAGAACGUAGCGAAAUGCGAUAAGUAAUGUGAAUUGCAGAAUUCAGUGAAUCAUCGAAUCUUUGAACGCACAUUGCGCCCGCCAGUAUUCUGGCGGGCAUGCCUGUUCGAGCGUCAUUUCAACCAUCAAGCCCCCGGCUUGUGUUGGGGACCUGCGGCUGCCGCAGGCCCUGAAAACCAGUGGCGGGCUCGCUAGUCACUCCGAGCGUAGUAAUACAUCUCGCUCAGGGCGUGCUGCGGGUUCCGGCCGUUAAAAAGCCUUAUUUACCCAAGGUUGACCUCGGAUCAGGUAGGAAGACCCGCUGAACUUAAGCAUAUCAAUAAGCGGAGGA
This 334-nucleotide unclassified non-coding RNA is filed under the name soil metagenome. Its description in RNAcentral is "partial contains 5.8S ribosomal RNA, internal transcribed spacer 2, and large subunit ribosomal RNA". The stretch from base 5 to 119 matches the Rfam family "5.8S ribosomal RNA", at positions 40 to 154 of the family's 154-position model. The record is from RNAcentral.